This is a non-coding RNA of Pelobates cultripes (western spadefoot toad), 232 nucleotides long. NCBI's taxonomy places the organism in Eukaryota, Metazoa, Chordata, Amphibia, Anura, Pelobatidae. The record is from the annotation of a GenBank genome assembly.
GUAGAAUACGUCUUAUUGUGUGUUCCACCCUUUGAGCCGUGCUUUUUAUUGAACGAUGAUAAUGACCAUGGGUUCACUAUUAUUAGAGGAAGAAAAUAAAACCGUGAGCCAGAAAGCUCACGACACCCAUACAAAUGAAGACAAGAAUGUCUCUUCUUCAUUCCUGUCAUUUUGCUAAUGAGCUUUUGAGCAUCAGUGAUAAAGGAUAUAAUUUCUAGAUAUGUGCCACAAG